AUUAACAAAAAUAUGUCAAUUGCUUAAGGAAAAUUUGAAUGGUCUGUACAACUAAAGGAAUGAAUAGAGACAUCUUGGUCCUACUUCUCGUCCAUGUCUCACCGGAAAUAUAUUCUUUGGAUAAUAAGGUUUGUGUCUGGGAUGCAUGUAGAGGCUUGGAGUUAAAGGUGAAGAAUCUGAUAUCCUUGAGGGGAAUAUUGGAGCAGCAAAAUUCUGCAGUCAGAGAGACAUGAUACCAGGUCAAGAAAGUGAUGGGAGUUCAGCUACAAACAAUACUGAAAAGUAAAUACGUGGUGUAUCUCAUUGAACAAAUGAAAGGUUGACAAAAUAAAUUAAAUGUGGCAGAUUCUGUCAUUUCCAUUUGGAUGGAAGUUCAAUACACAUGGGCUCAUCUAGAAAGUAUUUUCAUUGACUCUGAUGAUAUCAGAAGCCAUUUGCCUGAAGAUGUACAUAGACUUGACAAAAUCAAUACAGGCUUCAGAGAAUGACACAACAAAAACAAAAAUGUGAUAGAAGUUACCACCAAGCCAUAGAUGUAUGAAAAAUUGAAGAUUUGCAGCACAGACUUCCUCUUUGGAAAAAAGCUCUGGGUGGAUAUUUAGAAACCAAGCACAUAGCAUUUCCUCACUUCUAUUUUGUUUCUUCAACAGACUUGCCAGCUACUCUUCCAAUAGGAACACAGGUGGAACAGACCAUGAAUAUUGAAUCAGUAAAAUCUUGCAAAUUUCAUCUGAAGUCUUUUGUAAAUGCAUUAAGGGAGUAGAGAGAAUAACAUUAAAUCACUCGUGUAAUAUACUACGUCAACAUAACUUCCUCUUCAAGAUGUAGUAAU
Cygnus olor (mute swan) is the source of this 832-nucleotide long non-coding RNA. RefSeq lists it as uncharacterized. NCBI's taxonomy places the organism in Eukaryota, Metazoa, Chordata, Aves, Anseriformes, Anatidae. The record is from RefSeq and is a predicted model, not a curated record. The transcript is spliced from 6 exons.